GGCUCAUUAGUUGAUGAAUGAUCUAUAUUUAGGACAAACAUAAUUUUCUAUUAAGUGCCAGGAACUCACUUACCCAAUACAUCUUUUCUUUAACAGUUCUCAGGUUUCUGGAAAAACUGCAUGGCACUUCUCAUUGCAUUAGUUGGUUCUGAUGGUGAUGCUAGCAUUGGGCCUCUGCGCAGCUAUUACAUGGCAAAAAGAAUUGAUUUCACUGGGCGUCCGAGUGAUGCUCCACUGCACAUCAUCAGAAGAAGACGUAGGUCUACUCCUCACCUCCUCUCUGUUUCUCCCUAGUUUGGGGUUAUAUCAAGAAAAGAGAAGUCUGUGUAUUGCUGAAAACAGACACCCGGAUUUACCUGGCAAUUCCAUGUUUAGAGAACAUUCAAUAGAAGAAAUUUACUGGUCCUCACUUUAACUAUUUGAUAAAUGGAAAGAAAAAUUAUAGACCAAUCUUAUAUGGGUAUCCCGUAAUUUUAUAGCUCUUAGAAUUGCCAAGUAUUAUUUGUAGAUAUUAUUAAGCAAGAAUAGUGUUUGUGCGUAAUAAAAUCUCUGCGGAAGUGUUCCCAGCUGUUUUCCUGUCACUUUCAAAAUUUUGCUGCACUUGGUCAUCUGUGGAUUGCAUGGAUGGAUUUUUUUUUCCCAGAACAUGAACAUUUUCUUCAGUAAUAUUUGAAAGCCUUGCUGACAAACACGUGUUGCUAUUUGUAGGCUCUAAAUUGUAGUGGGGAGGAGGAAAGCACUAGACUGUGCAUUCAUUGGGAAAGUUGUCAAUUAUUUAAGUGGAAGGAGGGCUAGUCCUGGGUGUUUCUGUUUACACAAUUGCAGGGAGAGGUCUUUGUCUCAGGAAAUACUAAACUAUUAUAAGAUGCUAAUAGGGUGUGCUUACGAGAACACGGCUGAGAGCAAGCAGCAACAUGCCUGGGUUUUGUAGUGCCAAUAAAGCACGUAACUGUGCAUUGCAGAUGGCUUUCGCUGUGAAACUCUUUUCACAGUGCUGCUCACUUUGACUUCAGCAUGAAUUCUGGCUCCCCUGGUUUGCUUCCCCUAGCCUUCCCACCUGGAGCAUCUUAUGACUGUUUUGCUUUCUCUUUUUAAUAAUAUCAUUAAAAAAAGGGGGUAGGAAACUUAAGGAAACUUAAAAAUAUGACCACGCUGCAACCUAUGUAUUCAAAUUCCAGCAAUCAAAAAAAAAAAAAAAAAAAAGUCCAAAAUCUUUCCUUUUAAAAAUGUAAUAAAUUUGUGGGUAUCUCAGCAUAAUUCACUUUGUCAACCCUGAACAUGAAAACAAAAAAAAAACCCUUUUAUCAGCUCUUAAAAUCAAUUGACAUAUCUGAGCUCCUCGCUGGAGGCAAUUAAUAAAAGUAGAUUCAUUCAUGUUGGGCAUUUGGGUACGGAAGGUUUUUGGCGAUUAUAAGCCUCAAACUGUUUUAUUACAUAUUUAACCUUGAACUUUAAAUUGUUUGUUUCCUGAGAGUCAAAAUAUAAGGGUACAAAUUUUCAGAUGGGGAGUCUUGGUAUAUUGACCUUAUUUUAAACUGUUAAUAAUAUUUAAAUAAAAAGAAGUGAAAAAAGUUUCACAAGUAAUGUGUGCAAAUAAGUGAAGAGAGGGAUGGAAGAGACAUGAGUUCACCGAAAUAUAACCCCAAGACUUUUUCUUAAAGUAUGAAUUACAUAACCAUUUCUUUUGUGUUCAAUUAUACUUUUUCAUGCAAAAAUAUGGAUUUUUUAAAAGAUGCAGUGGGUGACUCAUUUUUUGAACAGUUUUACGCUAAUAGAAAGUGGAAGUUAGAAAGCUUUUGUAGAAGAAUAUUGAAGGAAAAAGCCAGACAGUGCAAUACUUGAAUUGUUUGUUCCUGUUUCUGAGUCUUCUGUCUCUAGACCCCAGUUGCACCAAUAUUUCCUCUAGGAAGUAGGAGACAUAAUGAAUGUGUGUGUUUUUUCCAAAAAUGAGUUUAUUAAAAGAAAAAGGUCAGUAGGGCUCCUUGCAAUUUGCAGGCCUGAUAUGCACGAGGCAAUGUUUUGCCAAGCACUUACAAAUACUAUUGACUUCCCCUAAAAUUCAGAAAUUGUGAGAUGAAUGUAUUGAUUUGAUUUAUCUAGUUUAAAGUAAAGAAAUGCACUAGGGAGAGAAAUGAAUAAUCUGAAAAUAUGUUUUAGAGAUUAACAUAGUGAAAUUCUCUUGUAAAGAUCAAAUAGGGCCAUAAGCACCCUCUGGUUUUGAUUGCUGAAUCGGAGUGAUCGAUGCAGCAAGGCCAUAUCAGACCAUUAAACGUCUCUUGUUCCAUGAGCCAUUGCUAAAUGCUUCGGAGCAAGGUGCAAGAUAUUCUGUAGAUAAUAAGAGUGGAAUAUGCUGCCCAGAGAAUAUUAAUCUUCCUAGCCUUCUUUUAUAGCUUGCAUCAUGAAGAUUUAUAUCCUUUUAAAACAAACAACAAAAUCCCCCUUUCUUAUUUAAGUCUCCAUCUCUUUGUUCUUGCAAAAAGUAAAAUUCUUGUCUUCAGCGCACAAUUAAUUGUUAGAUAUUUGGGCCCUUUAAAUGAAAAUUGGCAUAAUUCUGAUAACAUCUAAUAUCUAAUCCUCUGGGCUUGGUAGACUUCCUCAUGUGUUUAGUAAUGUGUAUGCGUAAGGAUCUUGAUGAAUCGGGACCUCAGCAUUUAAAGCAAAGUUGACAUCCAGUGCUUGAUGCCAUUUUCUAAAGCUAUUAAAUUCUUGCAGAUGAAUAUUUAUCAGAAUCUUGUCAAACUGUAUGAUUAUGAUGUUAAAGAAAUCGGAUAAACAGGAUAUCUGCUGCUUCAUAUAACAAGUUAACUGUCCUUUGAUCAGCUAGAUUUGAUCCAUGAAAUCAAAUGAUUACUUAAAAUCUGUGUUAGCAUAACUGAAUUCU
This is a long non-coding RNA of Dromaius novaehollandiae (emu), 2881 nucleotides long. RefSeq lists it as uncharacterized. The record is from RefSeq and is a predicted model, not a curated record. The transcript is spliced from 2 exons. NCBI's taxonomy places the organism in Eukaryota, Metazoa, Chordata, Aves, Casuariiformes, Dromaiidae.